UACGUAGGGUGCAGGCGUUAAUCGGAAUUACUGGGCGUAAAGCGUGCGCAGGCGGUUUGCUAAGACAGGUGUGAAAUCCCCGGGCUUAACCUGGGAACUGCGCUUGUAACUGGCAAGCUUGAGUGUGGCAGAGGGGGGUGGAAUUCCACGUGUAGCAGUGAAAUGCGUAGAGAUGUGGAGGAACACCGAUGGCGAAGGCAGCCCCCUGGGUUAACACUGACGCUCAGGCACGAAAGCGUGGGGAGCAAACAGG
This 253-nucleotide ribosomal RNA is filed under the name uncultured bacterium. RNAcentral's name for it is "partial 16S ribosomal RNA". It matches the Rfam family "Bacterial small subunit ribosomal RNA", at positions 524 to 776 of the family's 1533-position model. The record is from RNAcentral.